GUCUAUGGCUAUACCACCCUGAACGUGCCUGAUCUUGUCUGAUCUUAAAAGCUAAUCAGGGUCAAGCCUAGUUAGUACUUGGAUGGGAGACUAUUGUCAAGGAGUUGGUCCUGCCUACU
Molecule: ribosomal RNA, 119 nt
Filed under: Chinchilla lanigera (long-tailed chinchilla)
Lineage: Eukaryota; Metazoa; Chordata; Mammalia; Rodentia; Chinchillidae
Source: RNAcentral